CUGAUUACGUACCUCAUGUGGACGCCCAAGGGUGAGAUGAACAGCAGGCCGGCUCCGGCUCCAGUUUUCAUGAGUGACCCAUCGAAAUACAUUGUCCAUAGCUCCGCCUGGACCUGGGUCGGGGGGAGCUGGGUGUCCGUCCAUUCUGCGAUGAAGUCUACGAGGGCCUGCGAUUUGAUGGCCUUGCGAGGCGCAUAAGUGAGAGUCUCACUCAUGAGCUCGACCGACCAUUUUGCUAUUCUUCCCGUGGCUUCUUUGCUCUGGAUUAUUUCGCCUAAAGGAAAAGACGAGACCACCGUGAUGGGGUGGCCAAGGAAGUAAUGCUGCAGCUUGCGACGGGCAAGGAUUACGGCAUAAAUCAGCUUCUGGAUUUG
This 374-nucleotide long non-coding RNA is filed under the name Sorghum bicolor (sorghum). RNAcentral describes it as "long non-coding RNA (SBIC_LNC012462)". Lineage: Eukaryota; Viridiplantae; Streptophyta; Magnoliopsida; Poales; Poaceae. The record is from RNAcentral.